GGGAAAUGGGAAUUAUCAGAGGAUUGUAGGAAUUUGGUGAAAUUCCCGCUGUCGGGAUGAGGACGGUCCAUCUCAGUCAAUUGAGAUUUGUGUUUUAUUUCUUUCAGGAGGAAUCUGGUCGCAAGCAAAGGGUUCAUGAUGAAGCCAAACCAGUGUCGGUGGUAGAUGAUAACUUGCUGAUUGAAAAAUUUGAAAAUCCUUUUUUGUACAACACGGUAUUGGCAGAAACACCUGAUGCCUUCAAGCAAGUCUCCGUCACCCUGGAU
Long non-coding RNA from Amblyraja radiata (thorny skate), 266 nucleotides. RefSeq lists it as uncharacterized. The record is from RefSeq and is a predicted model, not a curated record. Lineage: Eukaryota; Metazoa; Chordata; Chondrichthyes; Rajiformes; Rajidae. The transcript is spliced from 3 exons.